This is a long non-coding RNA of Felis catus (domestic cat), 1356 nucleotides long. RefSeq lists it as uncharacterized. The record is from RefSeq and is a predicted model, not a curated record. Lineage: Eukaryota; Metazoa; Chordata; Mammalia; Carnivora; Felidae. The transcript has 2 exons.
CACCCAGGCGGGAGGUGGAGAAGGACAGGCCGAGCCUGUGUCCACAGCUACGGACACGACACGCUGUCAUCUCUGUGUGCCUCAAGUUGUCGACUGGACAAUAGAAUCUGUGCCGCGUGCAGGGACCAGCCAUUGUGUACUCGGUGACUCUGACUGUGUACUGACAACCCCCUGGGGACACACCGCAGGGCUGACAAGUUCCCAAACAUCACCGACGCGUGCUCUGAAGUUACUUCCCCCACGAGUUGACACAGAUCUUACUUUGCCGCGGGGACUGUACGCAAACGCGGAAACGGCCAUCCGAUGCCGUCACGGACGUUUCGGUUUCAACCCUUCCAGGCGGCCGGUAGCAGAAGGCGGCGUUUCGCUCGGCAGAGAGUCACCGAAUUUCACCACGCGACGUGAGCGCGGCGCCGGCGUGCUCCCGUCUCCCUCUUGACGCCUCCCGGCAGCCCUUUCGCUCGGAGCAAAACAAAAUGGCAGCGCUCGCGUCGACCUGCCGCUUUUCCGUCAGAGAAACGGACAGACAGCGGUUUUCCUCUUGAUCGUCAGCGUGCACGUGAAUGUCGCCGGGUGGCGGUACUCGCUGCUCUGGCGACGUCUUUGCCCGCGCGGUGGCCACGAUCAGCGAGGGGGAAGGUGUCGGACGGGGGGCGGGGUCAGCCGUCUGUGGGCACCGGGCGCAGGUCUCUGCGCGGCGCUCGCUUGGCGCGUCACCGCGCGCUGUCCGCCGGGAAGCGGGCACGAUUUCGCGAGACCCUCUCCGCUCACGUGCUUCCCGGAAGUGACGCGCGUCGGAAACCUCGUGCGGCGCUCGGGCCGGAGCUGGUCCCGCACAGUCACGUGACGGCAGGCGUUGGCCACAGUUUCAGGCUGUGGCCGUGUUAGGGACGCUCGCAGGACGUUGCAAGACCACGUCUUCCGAAAACGAGGAUCGCUGGGUCUGUGAAGAAAACUUUCGGGACACAAGCAUGUACCGAAGGCGCCAUGAAAAACGACCGAAUGGAUUCAGCGUAAAAAGUCAUCUAUUUGGAGGGACCCUGCCAUCGGUGUCAUUGUGGGAAGCCGAGUGAGGCGCGACAAUUGGGAGGCGUACGUGUAACGCUGGCGUCACAACAGUUUCAGCCGCUGUUUUCAGGUGCCUGCCCGGCUUCUGUUCUGUCCUGCUUCCUACGCUGUUCCACGACAGGAAGUCAGAAGAAAAUGGGCCUCAAGACCACGUUUGGCUUAUAUGCCGCGGAGAGGACGCCUCAAUCUGGACAUUUAUUCAUAUUUUCAGAUAAGAGCCAGGCCCUGUGCCUUUCUGUCUCCUCAGAGUCACAGUUGAUAUUAAAAACUACUUGACAGCAUAGGAAA